GACGAACGCUGGCGGCGUGCCUAACACAUGCAAGUCGAACGAAGUAUGUUUUUCGGAAUGUACUUAGUGGCGGACGGGUGAGUAACGCGUGAAUAAUCUGCCCCAUACAGGGGGAUAGCCUCGGGAAACCGGGAUUAAAACCUCAUAAUACCAUGGUAUCACAUGAUGCAAUGGUCAAAGAUUUAUCGGUAUGGGAUGGGCCUGCGUCUGAUUAGCUGGUUGGUGGGGUAACGCCUACCAAGGCAACGAUCAGUAGCCGACCUGAGAGGGUAAUCGGCCACAUUGGAACUGAGACACGGUCCAAACUCCGUACGGGAGCAGCAGGUGGGGAAUAG
RNAcentral lists this ribosomal RNA (335 nucleotides) under uncultured bacterium. Its description in RNAcentral is "bacterial SSU rRNA". It matches the Rfam family "Bacterial small subunit ribosomal RNA", at positions 28 to 364 of the family's 1533-position model. The record is from RNAcentral.